Long non-coding RNA from Canis lupus familiaris (dog), 3892 nucleotides. RefSeq lists it as uncharacterized. NCBI's taxonomy places the organism in Eukaryota, Metazoa, Chordata, Mammalia, Carnivora, Canidae. The transcript has 2 exons. The record is from RefSeq and is a predicted model, not a curated record.
CCCGCGCCCCGCGCGCCCCGCGCACCUCUCCACCUGCGACACGAAGCGUGUCUCGAAGGCUCCGCGCGUGCGCAGCUGCUCCGAGGCCUCCCCACGGAAGAGCAGGUUUUCGUCCACGAGCUUUAGCAGCACGAGCCGCACCAGCUCGCCCAUGUAUUUGCCGCCGAUGAUCUUCUCAUAACUGCGCGGAGGGCGGCGGGGUCAGGGCCUCGGCCGCCCCCAGGAGGCCCCCACACGCGGCCACAGGGAGGCCAGGAAAGGAGAAGGUGAACCCCAAGGGCAGCUUCUUGUGCUUCAUCUGAUGCUUGUCCAGGAAAUCGGAGAUGCACUCGGAGAUGUAGUCAAAGAGCUGGAAGACACAGCGCCAGCAGGCCAUCGGCCUCAGCGCCCCUCUCCCAAAUGCUGCAGCCCCUGGCACAGGGCAACACCAGGACAGGUCCCUCCCACUGGACGUCCAGCCACAAACUUUGGACAGAGGUUCAGCCGUGCUCAUGACUCUGAUUUCUGUGCUUUGCUGCCUCCAGGAGCCCGGCUGCCCCACCCCUGGCCCUGCCGAGGACCAGCCUCCAUCCUGCUGCGUGGGCCCGUCCACAAAACUGGGUAUUGUCGAGUGCUCUGCGGAUGGACCAAGGUCCCCACUGGUGCUGGGGCCCUGUGAGGUGCCCAUGCCAUCCCUGCCACCUUGAUUUACCCCUAUAGCAUGCAGAGGUGUGGUGAGGACGAGGCUGCCAUGGGACUCCUGCCUCGAAACCCUGGCCCUCAGGAUGGCUCUGCCUCUGCCCGCCUCCCCUGAGGGCUCAUCAUCCUUCUGUAGCCUCUCCAGUCCUCCCCACCAAUGGGUAGCAUUCCCGCCUGGGCAGACAUUACAACUGCAGCCACCCCACAAGGUGUCCCUGCUGUUGGAAGGCGAGGGGGUGACACAUAGGAAAGAGGCAGAGUGCUGUGUGCUGACUGCACCAGCUUGUUCCCUCAGCUGCCCUGUCACCCAUCUGAUGCCUCUGGGACACUGGGCAAGGAUGUGACCUGCAGGGGCCAUGCCUGGCACCAUCCACUUAGGCCUCUCAGCUACCUCCCUGGGCCCUCUGAGGCUGGCUGGCUCUCCUGUCUACAGGUGCCCCUGCCCCUGGGAGAAAGGUGGGCCCUCCUGCCAGGACUAGUGAGUGCCAUGAUCCUGGGCAGAGCUGAUCCUGCCCCACGGUCCCCGGGCCCCCAGCCCCCGGCCCGUGGGCCCAGCCCAGAUCCCCAGCCCCCAGCCCCCUAGCCCCAGCUGCUCACCAUCUCAGCAGUACCAGUCAUGGCAUCUUCAGGGAUGGAAUACAUCUCGUGCUUGGUUUUCACACUCCACUGCCCCUCCUCGCCCUCCCCCACCUUGACCAGCAUCACCCUGAAGUUGGUGCCGCCCAGGUCCAGGGAGAGGAAGUCCCCGACUUCUGCAGACACAGUGAGAAGUGCAUUAGCCUCGGGGUGCUGCCCAGCAGGACCCCAAGAUCAGGAAGAGGAGGAGAGGACGGAGUGGGGGGAUCAGAGGAGCUGGACAGGGGGCUGCUGACCCCAGGUACCAGGGGACCCCAGAGUCAACUGUGGAAGAGGUCAAAGGUGAACUGGGGAGCUCAGUGGGCAGCCGCUGCCUUGGACUGAAGCCACUGCAAGCCCAGGUUCCAAGGAAAGACCUAGUGAAACAGCGCAGGGUCAGGGUUGGGCUGAGCCUGAGAACAAAUUUCCUAUUGCAAGAUGCACAAAGCCAGUUUCCCCAAGGCGGUGAAGAUGCCAGGGCGGGGCCGGCACGGAGCUCGGGUGAGAACCAGCCCAUGGCUGCAAGGACCUAGGCUGGCCUUCCCUGCUGGGGCCCAGGGACGCGGUACCUGAGCCUUCUGGGGUGGAGCGCACGUAGGUGGGCAGCAUCUUCACGCUGGCCUCCUCGUGGGUCUCCAGCCGCAGGCCCCGCGCCAUCUCCCUCUGCAUCCGCCGCAUCACCUUCUUCAAGUCCGCCUCCUGCAUCUGGAAGUCCGCCAGGAUCUGCUCUGCCUGCACGGGGUGGGGGGAAGCUGGGUGGGCUGGGGGCCUGUGGCAGCCAAGUCAGGCCCUCCCUGCACACACCGGGAGUGUCCUUUGCCCUCUGGCCUGGGCCCAAGAUGACCCCUCAUCUCAAAUGACCAGUUAGGACCAGUUGAAAAGUUAGAGCAGCAGAGUUCCAAGAGCAGCCCCCAAAUGCAGUGGCCGAGGCAUGCUGGGGGGUGCAGGUGGCAGCUCCCCCUUUGUAGCUCAGGUGCAUAUGGGGAGGAGGGAGGCACUAAUUAGGAAAGUGGGUGAGACAAGGCUGUUGGGCAGUCAGUGGGCACCUGGCAUGAUGGUCACAAAGACCUGGCUAUUCUCCAUCUAAAUUAAUGCAGAGGGAAUGAAUGGGCCUGUGUGUACAAACGGAGCACGUUCCACACGGCAGCUCCCCCAGCCCAGGGUACAGCCUCUGACCAGGCUGAGCCAAGCACGGCUAACCCGUGCUCCGCCUUUUCUCCCACAGAUUUUAUUUAUUUAUUCGUGAGAGACACAGAGAGAGAGGCAGAGACACAGGCAGAGGGAGAAGCAGGCUCUAAGCAGGGUACCCGAUGUGGGACUCGAUCCUGGGUCUCCAGGAUCACACCCUGGGCUGAAGGCAGAUGCUCAACCACUGAGCCACCCAGGAAUCUCCAUCCUGUGCCCUUUUGCCAGUGAUCUGGUUUCGUACUGGGCAUGUGGCCCCAUCCCAUGCUUAUGCAUUGGCCCCAUCCUGGCCAAUGACAGGGAAAGGGAGGUCUGAUUUUAGCAGGACCUUCCUUUCCUUCCCUUCCUGGGAAGGUCAGUGUCCCUGUAACUGUGACACAGCUGUGUAGGAGUGUGAUGGCCGGCGCCACAGCAGCGGUCCUGUGACAAAGUGGAGACAAGGCUGAAGGGGGAAGCUGUUGGUGGACACCAAUGGCAGGAAGAGAGGCAGAGCAGCCCGGCCCCGACGCACUAGCCAAAUGCCAACGUCUGCCAAGCCGUUCUACAGCUCUGGGCGCCAGUGCGAGCACAGCCCUAGGAAGGCCCUCAUCCCAGCGGAGCAAUCCUCAUCCUGUUCUCAGAGGCCCACAGCGACAGUCUUCCACAACUUUCAAAUGUAAAAUGUGUCAGCAAGGACUGGAAGCAUUAACCCUGGCACGUUUCUGCCAACAAGCUGCACCCCAGGCUGAGCGCAGUGCACUCCCCUCUGUCAGUGUCAUCAGGGUGCUAGGAGGAGGCGCCAGCAGCCGCUUCUAGAAGAGCACAGGUGCGUGCAGGUGCAUGCGGCCUGCGUGCCUUGUGGCCAGCACCCAGGAGCUGUGUCUGAAGUCAUGAGAGGCUGCCAGGCACCUCCCUGAGACAGAACUGUCUAGAGGGACCUGCCGUAGGACAUGACAAGCUCUUAGCAGGACUGAUGCAGAUCCACGAAGGUCCAGCCUCAGCCCCCUUGUUGUGGCCUGGACUCGGGAGCGGCUCUGGGCCAGAGGCUUCACCCUCUGUGUCCAGGCCCACGUGGAUCCCUCCACUGAUGGUGGGUGAAACCCCUACUCUGCCGGCUUCCAGGCCAGAGAGACUCUUUGGUGGGACCCCAGAAAUCACAUGAGGUCAGACCACCUGGUCAAAGCAUAACCUGAAGUUGCUAGCAACAUUUAAUUUCAGCCUAGCAGUUUCUCUCCAAGAAUCCAUUCUAUGGAAAGGGUCUUGCAAGCAAAUGAGCACACGCGGUGCUGGGACGUCCGGGACUCAAGAAGACCCCACAUGCACCCCGGGGCCUUCCCGUCCCUGCUGGGACACCGCACGGCAGGAGUGGGAGGCUGAGAUGACAUUUGCUAGAACCUGAUUGUAUUCUGUAAAUACAGCUGCAUCUGGCUGUGGC